Hyalella azteca is the source of this 777-nucleotide long non-coding RNA. RefSeq lists it as uncharacterized. Lineage: Eukaryota; Metazoa; Arthropoda; Malacostraca; Amphipoda; Hyalellidae. The record is from RefSeq and is a predicted model, not a curated record. The transcript is spliced from 3 exons.
ACACCCCGAAAAGAAGAAGAACUUCAAACUGAUUAGCAUCGCUCCAUUCCCUGGAUAUUUGCGAACAAGUGGUAUGUAUACUUCUCUUAUCAAGAUGCAUUUGGAUUAAAACAGGAUGUUUCAUCAUGAGGCAAAAUGAAACUAGCACUCAGGACUAUUCCAAGGAAGAUGAGACAGCCUAAUACUGCUUCAAGUAUAUUCCUCUUUAUGAUUGUCAAAGGAACUGUGGUCCCUGAAGGCUGCACACUUCAGGAGCGUCAGGCACCAUAUCAACAUGGCAAUAUUAAGAAGAAAGCUAUGGCACAAUUGACACCUCUUAUUUCUCGCUAUUUCAUGUCUGCAUUCAUACUUUAAUUUAAAUUGUCUUCAAAUGAAGUUAAUUAUUCUUCCCAGUUGUAAAGAGAAGUGUUUUAAAUUGGCGUUUUGAUAAUUGCUAAACUAAGUUAUUUGCAUACAUUUUUAAAGUUAAACUUUACUUUGCAGUGUUCAUUCUAGGAAAUUUUACUUUAGUUAAAUUAAUAGUUAAAAUUUAAAAUUUAGUUAAAUUAAUAAAAUUAGUUAAAAAAUAAGCAUGUAAAUGUAGAAUGUAGAGGAUCGGCAAUAAUUAUAGAAGUCUCUAGGUAAGCCUCCAAACCAGAUUGAAUAUAGAACACUCAAUAUUGACAUACAGAUUCUCACUGGUUAUUGUUACUGAAAUUUGUAAUAAUUGUUUAACCUGAUGCUGGCCCUGGGCCAAGUAAUGUUUUUGAUAAUGACAAAUUGACAAUGUUUAGUGGC